UUGGAGGGCAAGUCUGGUGCCAGCAGCCGCGGUAAUUCCAGCUCCAAUAGCGUAUAUUAAAGUUGUUGCAGUUAAAAAGCUCGUAGUUGAACUUCGGGGUCUACCCAUCGGUCAGGCUUAAUUGUCUGUACUGGUGAGAUGGAUCUCUACCUUCUGAGGAACUUUCAUGCCAUUUAUUUGGUGUGAUUGGAAAUCAGGACUGUUACUUUGAAAAAAUUAGAGUGUUUAAAGCAGACUAUCGUCUGAAUACAUUAGCAUGGAAUAAUGAAAUAGGACGGACUGAUUCUAUUUCGUUGGUUUCUAGGAUCACCGUAAUGAUUAAUAGGGAUAGUUGGGGGCAUUAGUAUUCAAUUGUCAGAGGUGAAAUUCUUGGAUUUAUUGAAGACUAACUACUGCGAAAGCAUUUGCCAAGGAUGUUUUCAUUAAUCAAGAACGAAAGUUAGGGGAUCGAAGACGAUCAGAUACCGUCGUAGUCUUAACCAUAAACUAUGCCGACUAGGGAUCGGACGAAGUUAAUUUUAUAAUGACGCGUUCGGCGCCUUACGGGAAAC
RNAcentral lists this ribosomal RNA (551 nucleotides) under uncultured Glomeromycotina. RNAcentral describes it as "SSU rRNA". It matches the Rfam family "Eukaryotic small subunit ribosomal RNA", at positions 548 to 1098 of the family's 1831-position model. The record is from RNAcentral. Lineage: Eukaryota; Fungi; Glomeromycota.